GCACUGCUGAGUCCCACAAUAGGACGAAACGGCCGUCCAGUGC
This is a non-coding RNA of Schistosoma mattheei, 43 nucleotides long. The record is from Rfam. Lineage: Eukaryota; Metazoa; Platyhelminthes; Trematoda; Strigeidida; Schistosomatidae.